This 460-nucleotide ribosomal RNA is filed under the name uncultured bacterium. RNAcentral describes it as "bacterial SSU rRNA". It matches the Rfam family "Bacterial small subunit ribosomal RNA", at positions 28 to 507 of the family's 1533-position model. The record is from RNAcentral.
GACGAACGCUGGCGGCGUGGAUUAGGCAUGCAAGUCGAACGGUAUCAUCCUUUCGGGGGUGAGAGAGUGGCGAACUGGUGAGUAACACGUAGGUUAUCUACCCUCAAGACGGGGACAACCCAGGGAAACUUGGGCUAAUACCGGAUGUGAGCAACUUUUAGUUGUUUGAAAGGUGGCGUAAGCUGCCGUUUGGGGAUGAGCCUGCGCUCUAUUAGUUAGUUGGCGGGGUAAAGCCCACCAAGGCGAUGAUAGAUAGGCGGCCUUAACGGGUGGUCGCCCACACUGGGAUUGAGAUACGGGCCCAGACUCCUACGGGAGGCAGCAGUCGAGAAUAGUCUACAAUGGCCGAAAGGCUGGAUAGUGCGACGCCGCGUGAACGAAGAAGCCCUUCGGGGUGUAAAGUUCUUUACCAGGGAUGAUAAUGACAGUACCUGGAGAAUAAGCUCCGGCUAACUCCGUG